This 1002-nucleotide ribosomal RNA is filed under the name Rhytisma andromedae. RNAcentral's name for it is "mitochondrial SSU rRNA". It matches the Rfam family "Bacterial small subunit ribosomal RNA", at positions 1 to 1186 of the family's 1533-position model. The record is from RNAcentral. Lineage: Eukaryota; Fungi; Ascomycota; Leotiomycetes; Rhytismatales; Rhytismataceae.
UUUGGGGGAUGUAUAGUACUCUUAUGAGGCUAGUUGUGUUUUGAAUAAAAGUAAAUCGUUAUAAAAUAAACAUAACACCAACUACGUUGGAUAAAAUUCUAGAUAGAAUACUUAUUAUGACUAUUUUCUAUCUAUAUGUCUUGACCAAAUUACGUGCCAGCAGUCGCGGCAAUACGUAGAAGACUAGUGUUAUUCAUCUUUACUAGGUUUAAAGGGUACCUAGACGGUAUUAUUAAGCCACCUCUUCUUUGCUAGAGGUAAGGCAAAUAUUUUACUAGAGUUUAAUGUAAGAAGGGAGAAUUUAGGGUGUAGAGAUAUAAUUCGUUGAUACUCUGAAGACUGGUAAUGGCGAAAGCACCCUUCUAUGUAAUAACUGACGUUAAGGGACGAAGGCUUGGGGCGCAACCAGGAUUAGAUACCCUAUUAGUCCAUGCAGAUAAUUAUGAAUGCCAUAGACUAGAUAUAAUUUAGUUUAUAAAUGAAAGUGUAAGCAUUCCACCUCAAGAGUACUGUGGCAACGCUGGAACUGAAAUCAUUAGACCGCUUCUGAGAACAGUAGUGAAGCAUGUUAUAUAAUCCGAUAGCCCUCGUAAAACCUUACCACAACUUGAAUGGUGUCCUCUUUUCUUUAGCGAAGCAAAUUCGCUUUUUCUUACUUGUUUGCUCAGCUCUCUGGUGCCCUACCCCUUUGCUUUGCUAGGGUAAGGGCAAAGAAGCGCAAGGCCAUACAAGGUCUCUCUAGAUAAGUAUGCCUUGCAAGGCCAGAGAGAGAGGGGUCUUUGCCCCUCUAGAAGCAAACCCCUCUUCAUGGGGCUUUGCUUCUAGAGCAAAAGAAGAGAUAUUAAAUUAAAGGGAUGUUACAGGUGUUGCACGGUUGUCUUCAGCUAAUGUCGUGAGAUUGUGGUUAGUUCCAUAAAAUUAGCGUAAACCCCGGCUUUAUUUUUUAAUUAUUAUGAUAAAGUAGUUCGUCUGUAUAUUGAUAAAUGAUAACAGGGAAAAGAC